Molecule: long non-coding RNA, 3085 nt
Organism: Prosopis cineraria
Lineage: Eukaryota; Viridiplantae; Streptophyta; Magnoliopsida; Fabales; Fabaceae
Exons: 3
Source: RefSeq, a predicted model, not a curated record
AUCUUCUUCUCUCUCGCCUUCCAAAUCAUUCCAUCCAUCGCAUUCACUGCCCUCUCAUCCUCAACGCCACUGUCGGCGAAGACUCUCCCCCAUCAUCGUUGUGCCCCCUUUCUGUCUUCACUCCUUGUCCAAUCGAGCUUCUCUUCGACUUCGUCUCCCUCACGGCACCGUGUCUUCUUUGUCUUCCCUUCCUCUGCUGUCACCACGUUCUCUUUGUAUCCCUUUCAUCUGCCAUCACCAAUUCCAAACCCCACUGCUUCUCUCUCCAGACGCAAUCUCUCUCUCUGCUCGAGGUCAAAGAAGAUGCAGUGAAGCAAUAUAUGAAAGCGUGAGAGAGAGAUUUAGCAAAAAAUCACGAAUAUGAGAGCGUGAGAGACAGAGAUUUAGCACAACAGAAGCCUGAGCUGAGACUGAGUCUGGCGCCCAAGUUCAUUCAGCGAGUUGCACGGGGAAGCCCUUGCACUGAUUGUGGCUAGGAUGGGGAUGGUAGAAGAGUUAGAGACUUCCUUGUAAAUAUUACGAGGAUUUGAGACUGAUAUAUCUGUUGAAGUACAAGAAAUCAAUUUUGCUCAUUAUUCCUCCUAAAGUAGCAAAACAACUUUGAUGCUGUCACUAUGAUGCAUGAUGACCAGUGUGGACAAGGUGUGAAUUAAGUGUUUAGAAUCUGUAGUAAUAUCCAUUUGCUGCUAAACUGAAUUAUUUUUUUAGCGAUCUGCCGCAUCAAUGGGAAAAGACUUACCAUUUGAUUUCCAUAUUUCAAGAGAAAAAGAUAUUAGUUUCCUUUGAUGGUAUACUAUAAUUCAUCCCUAUAGCAUGCUAUAAUUCAACCUAUGAGGAGAACUACGAAUUAGGUAAGAGAUAAGAAUUUAUUGUUAUCUUUCUGUAUCAUAUCUUCUUGACCCUGCUUGUAACAUGAUCCAUAUAGCAGCAGCAUUCUUAGUCUGUGUUAUGAUUGAGAAGCUACCCAAUACUAUAUUUUAUUAGUAUCUCUUAUUGUUGCUGUGAGGAAAUUUUUGGAUGCAGUUAUAGAUGAGGAUGAAAAGACUGGGAAGGAAUGCAUCAAGGUGCUAAUGUGAUUUUGUUAUUUGCACAUAUUUUUAGGCUUUCAUCUUUUUUAAUGAUAAGUCAGUCAGCUUUAGUUCUAGAAAAUAUCUAUAUAAGAGGCCUGUGCAAUGCUGAUGUGAAAGAAGGUUUAAAUGGCAUUUGCAGUUGACAACUGGGGUAAUUUUCAAAAAUUUAAAGUAAACAUGAUAUAAUUUAAUGAGAAAUCCCCAAUGCUGUUGUGAACUUUACCUUAUAAUCUUCAUGUUGGGGAAAAAGAUCAUAGAUUCAUGUAUAAAUUUAAACAAACAUUUAUUUACUAUUAAAGGUGUUUCCAGGUUGAAGUAAAGUUUCUCUAAUAGAACAUAUGUUGUUGCUUCUUUUGUAAAAUGCUUUAUGUGACUUGCCACUGAAGGAAGGCCUUUAUAACUAAGAAAAGUAAUCAUUGGAUUUUACACAAAAUCUAUGUAAUACUACAGUAUGGAUUAUGGGCAGCAGAAGAGUUCAGCAUGUAAGAACUCGGGUUCAUUUUUUCAAAGCACUUUGCAAAUUCUCUUUAAAUACGCUUUUUAAAAUCUGGAGUUAGUAACUUAUGAUUCAAUUUUCUUCUCUUUUUCCCCAUUUCUAUCUACAAUUUUGUGGCUAUUUAAUGGUCUUUUUUGUCAAUAGCUUUUAGCAAAAGGGAAAGCCAAAUUUAUGAAAGUUUUUCAAUCAGUUUCUUUUCUUUUUUCCCCCUCUAUAUUUAUCAGCUAUAGCAUUUUAUGAAACUGAUGAUGCUCCUCAGGUUGAGUGUGGCUUAUGGUAGGUUGCUUCUCCUGGAGUCCUUGAAGCCAAAUUAUUUAACAGGUAAAUUUUUUUCAGAUGUUCUAAUUCUUUUUUUUCUCCAACAGAUAUUUUAUUUUUAUGAUGUCUGUUUGAAGGAAGUAGGGUACUUUGCAAUAUAAAUUUCAAGCAUUAAUAUUUCAUAUGUUGUUGCUUCUUUUGUAAAAUGCUUAUGUGAAUUGCCGCUGAAGGAAGACCUUUAUAACUAAGAAAAGUAAUCAUUCGAUUUUACACAAAAUCUAUGUAAUACCACAGCAUGGAUUAUGGGCAGCGGAAGAGCUCAACAUUUAAGAACUCAGGUUCAUUUUUUCAAAGUACUCUGCAAAUUCUUUUUAAAUGCUCUUUUUUAAAUUUGGAGUUAGUAAUUUAUGAUUCAAUUUUCUUCUCUUUUUCCCUAUUUCUAUCUAAAAUUUUGUGGCUAUUUAAUGGUCUUUUUUGUCAAUAAGCUUUUAGUAGAAGGGAAAGCCAAAUUUAUGAAAGUUUUUCAAUCAGUUUCUUUUCUUUUUCCCCCUCUAUGUUUAUCAGCUAUAGCAUUUUAUGAAAUUGACGAUGCACCUCAGGUUGAGUGUGGCUUAUGGUAGGUUGCUUUUCUUGGAGUCCUUGAAGCUAAAUUAUUUAGUAGGUAAAUUUUUUUCAAAUGUUUUGUUUCUUUUUUUUUUCCUUCAACAGAUAUCUUAUUUUUAUGAUGUCAAUUUGUAGGAAGUAAGGUACUUCGCAAUAAACUAAGGUAAUCUUGAUGAAUAAAUUUUAGAUAUUCCAAGAAUAUUUCAUUAAUGACACAAACUUGAAAUUUUUAUGUACAUUGAUCGAAUUAAAGCCACUUCAUAAUCCAUUAUAUGAAAGUUUUAUUGUCAAUUUUUCUGGUCAUAUGAAUUUGCAGGAGACCUUUUUAAGCUAUCGGUGUUGGAUUUGUAUUUAGGAAGAACUUUUUCAUGAAUGGAUCUUCUCUUUGUCCUUUUGUUAGGAUGUACAUGAAUUCUUGAACUUUUUCUUAAAUGAUCUGAUGGACAUUUUGGAAGGCUUCAAAAGAGAUCAACAGACCUCAUCACCUUCUGAUCCUGGGUCAAUGAAUCAUGACUUAUCACUUAUGUAACAUACAUAUAUUAAUAUUUUGCUCAGUAGGGAUUGGAAAAGUGAGUGAAGUGCAAAACAGAUAUAUUUUGGUGUUCUCCUUGUGGAUUGGAUGUUUCAAAAUCUAUUAUUUUCAGGCAUUGUUUUAGAA